This 482-nucleotide ribosomal RNA is filed under the name uncultured bacterium. RNAcentral's name for it is "partial 16S ribosomal RNA". It matches the Rfam family "Bacterial small subunit ribosomal RNA", at positions 30 to 507 of the family's 1533-position model. The record is from RNAcentral.
AUUGAACGCUGGCGGCAUGCCUUACACAUGCAAGUCGAACGGUAACAGGUCUUCGGAUGCUGACGAGUGGCGAACGGGUGAGUAAUACAUCGGAACGUGCCCAGACGUGGGGGAUAACGAGGCGAAAGCUUUGCUAAUACCGCAUACGAUCUAAGGAUGAAAGCAGGGGACCGCAAGGCCUUGUGCGUUUGGAGCGGCCGAUGGCAGAUUAGGUAGUUGGUGGGAUAAAAGCUUACCAAGCCGACGAUCUGUAGCUGGUCUGAGAGGACGACCAGCCACACUGGGACUGAGACACGGCCCAGACUCCUACAGGAGGCAGCAGUGGGGAAUUUUGGACAAUGGGCGAAAGCCUGAUCCAGCAAUGCCGCGUGCAGGAUGAAGGCCUUCGGGUUGUAAACUGCUUUUGUACGGAACGAAAAGGCUCUGGCUAAUACCUGGGGCACAUGACGGUACCGUAAGAAUAAGCACCGGCUAACUACGUG